Molecule: ribosomal RNA, 425 nt
Filed under: uncultured bacterium
Lineage: Bacteria
Description: bacterial SSU rRNA
Rfam family: Bacterial small subunit ribosomal RNA
Source: RNAcentral
GUGGGGAAUAUUGGACAAUGGGCGCAAGCCUGAUCCAGCCAUGCCGCGUGAGUGAUGAAGGCCCUAGGGUUGUAAAGCUCUUUCACCGGAGAAGAUAAUGACGGUAUCCGGAGAAGAAGCCCCGGCUAACUUCGUGCCAGCAGCCGCGGUAAUACGAAGGGGGCUAGCGUUGUUCGGAAUUACUGGGCGUAAAGCGCACGUAGGCGGACAUUUAAGUCAGGGGUGAAAUCCCAGAGCUCAACUCUGGAACUGCCUUUGAUACUGGGUGUCUUGAGUAUGGAAGAGGUGAGUGGAAUUCCGAGUGUAGAGGUGAAAUUCGUAGAUAUUCGGAGGAACACCAGUGGCGAAGGCGGCUCACUGGUCCAUUACUGACGCUGAGGUGCGAAAGCGUGGGGAGCAAACAGGAUUAGAUACCCGGGUAGUCC